GGCAAUUUGUCCGAGUGGUUAAGGAGCGGGUUUUGAAGUCCCGUGUGCUUUGCACGCGCAGGUUCGAAUCCUGCAGUUGUCG
Molecule: transfer RNA, 82 nt
Organism: Hanseniaspora osmophila
Lineage: Eukaryota; Fungi; Ascomycota; Saccharomycetes; Saccharomycodales; Saccharomycodaceae
Rfam family: tRNA
About the family: Transfer RNA (tRNA) molecules are approximately 80 nucleotides in length. Their secondary structure includes four short double-helical elements and three loops (D, anti-codon, and T loops).
Source: Rfam